Long non-coding RNA from Triticum dicoccoides, 756 nucleotides. RefSeq lists it as uncharacterized. Lineage: Eukaryota; Viridiplantae; Streptophyta; Magnoliopsida; Poales; Poaceae. The record is from RefSeq and is a predicted model, not a curated record. The transcript is spliced from 2 exons.
UUUAGGUUUCACGUUGAUCGAUCUCCUCUCUUGUCGUCAGGCGCCGGCGCGUUCCAUCCAUGGCCGGAUUCCCGUCCUUGUUAGCCGGUCGUCACCUGCUUAUGAUGAAAUCGUCCCGUCAACGCAACCAAUCUCGCUCUGCUCCGUUGUUGCAGCCGCCGGGAACUCCAGCGAUCCAGGAGGACCUUUCCUUCCGCGGGAUGGAAGAAGGCCGACAGCCACCGCCGACCCAACUAACCGCCGCCCAGAAGAGAUUCGGGGCAAUCUUCCUUAGGGGUAUGGCUGCUACGUAUAGCUUGGCAAUGGUGGUUUCGCUCUUGAUGAUGCGAUUUGUGUACCAGGAUAAAGAAAUGCAGGACAACAUUACAAUGAUAAUUUGUUUGAUCAUUUCUCUCGUGCCGGGAGUAUUCUUUUUUGCGGUAACACACGAAGAACUGUAGACACCUACUCCAACCUAGAGCAUAUCAGCAAUCAGCACGAAUUUCCGUUGCGUUAUAUGGAAGCAAUACUGUCAUUUUGUAGUGAAUCCUUUGCAUAAAGGACGUACAUUGUUCAUUAUAUUUGUCGUCGAUGUGCUAUCUUAUGCAGUUACGGUCAUGGUUUUCAGAUUUGCAACAGGGGAUUGCAUUUAGUCUUUAUAGCCUUUGAUGUUAGGGAACGGUGAUACCUUUGGGUGCCUAAUCGUCAUCUUUGAUUUUUUGGGUCAUUAAGAUGUAACUGUUGACGUAUAAAUGUAUUGCCUAGUCUUUUUCAUUA